UUAACUUUCACAGUUUCUUUCACAGUCGUCUUUAACCAGGUCGCCUGCUGCUCUGAAGAAAAGACGUUUCAAAUCCAGGACCAGAGAAGUUCCCCAACACCACUAUGAGGCUUUUUUGGAUCCUUCUUACCAUCCACACCGAAUCUCCAGUCGUUUGGAAGACAACGGUGGACCCAGAGGAGUCUCUCCAUUUGGAUCCAGGGACAGCCAUACCUUCCCACAACAAAUGCAUUCUGCAUUUAUCAUAGAGGAUGAAGGGCAGACGACUCACGA
Molecule: non-coding RNA, 273 nt
Organism: Plectropomus leopardus (leopard coralgrouper)
Lineage: Eukaryota; Metazoa; Chordata; Actinopteri; Perciformes; Serranidae
Source: RefSeq, a predicted model, not a curated record